Molecule: ribosomal RNA, 311 nt
Filed under: uncultured bacterium
Lineage: Bacteria
Description: bacterial SSU rRNA
Rfam family: Bacterial small subunit ribosomal RNA
Source: RNAcentral
GACGAACGCUGGCGGCGUGCUUAACACAUGCAAGUCGAACGGAUCAGGGGAGCUUGCUUUCCUGGUUAGUGGCGAACAGGUGAGUAACACGUGAGCAAUCUGCCCUUGACUCUGGGAUAACUGCGGGAAACUGUAGCUAAUACCGGAUAUGACAGCCGACGGCAUCGUCUGGUUGUGGAAAGAAUUUCGGUCAGGGAUGAGCUCGCGGCCUAUCAGCUUGUUGGUGAGGUAAUGGCUCACCAAGGCGACGACGGGUAGCCGGCCUGAGAGGGUGACCGGCCACACUGGGACUGAGACACGGCCCAGACUCC